This 497-nucleotide ribosomal RNA is filed under the name uncultured bacterium. RNAcentral describes it as "partial 16S ribosomal RNA". It matches the Rfam family "Bacterial small subunit ribosomal RNA", at positions 28 to 507 of the family's 1533-position model. The record is from RNAcentral.
GACGAACGCUGGCGGCGUGCCUAAUACAUGCAAGUUGAGCGAUGAAGAUUGGUGCUUGCACCAAUUUGAAGAGCAGCGAACGGGUGAGUAACGCGUGGGGAAUCUGCCUUUGAGCGGGGGACAACAUUUGGAAACGAAUGCUAAUACCGCAUAACAACUUUAAACAUAAGUUUUAAGUUUGAAAGAUGCAAUUGCAUCACUCAAAGAUGAUCCCGCGUUGUAUUAGCUAGUUGGUGAGGUAAAGGCUCACCAAGGCGAUGAUACAUAGCCGACCUGAGAGGGUGCUCGGCCGCAUUGGGACUGAGACACGGCCCAAACUCCUACGGGAGGCAGCAGUAGGGAAUCUUCGGCAAUGGACGAAAGUCUGACCGAGCAACGCCGCGUGAGUGAAGAAGGUUUUCGGAUCGUAAAACUCUGUUGGUAGAGAAGAACGUUGGUGAGAGUGGAAAGCUCAUCAAGUGACGGUAACUACCCAGAAAGGGACGGCUAACUACGUG